AGAGUUCUACUACUUAAGAGGUCUACUCUUGAUCCUGUUUGUAUAUAUAUAUAUAUAUAAAUAAUUAUUUUAGGAUCAUGUAAAAUUGCAUUUAGGAGCAUAAGAGCAAUGAAUUAAUGUAGAGCAUUUAAGGAAGGCCAAUGAUGAGACUUGAUCAGUGAUCUAAUCAGUUUAGUAAUACAGAUAAGGAUUGCUAAGUUAGGAAUGUUAACUGUUACUGGUUUUAUUAAAUUUAAGACCCUUUGAUUUUAAUUGUGCACGUCAAUGUAUUGAAUUGGUUAGGUUUAGUUCGAUUUAUUGAACUAGGUGAUCAUUAAGGAUAUAAAGAUCUCUAUCACUUGUUGGAACACAAAAAUAUGAAUAAUCAUUGCUUCGAUGUCUGUCUAAAAUGUAAAGAAAAAAAGAAAUAUAUAAAAUCAAAAUAGACAGAUAUAAGUAGAUAUUGACUAGUUUGUUUUUGUAAACUUUGUCAUUCGAACAAGUAAUUAAGCCCUUAGGAGUGUUUCUACACUUAGUUCCCUAAAGCCAUUUGGUUUGAGAGUCACUGGUAGAAAGCUUGCUACACGGGUGACAUUGAAAAGCCUAAUAAAAAUAAACAUUGCACAAGUCAAGAAUUCAGGGGUUAAAUGAAAAAUCAACGAGAUGGAGCGUAAAUCGCACUCGUUGUACAAUAAAAUAAAAAAAUAGAAAAUAUAUGUGUGAAAACAAGUGUAUAAGAGGAGUAUUAAAGAGUCAUAUAUGAAAAUAAAUAUAUUUUAUUGAGCACUUGGAACAUGGAUUGGAUUAUGAUUUUGAUUAGUUUAUAUGUUGACUACACACACACACGAAAGGGUUGAAAAUAAGAUGAAAUUGAUGAUAUGUUACAUUUCUGCUGGUGCAUGAAUUUGACGUUUUGCUGAAUUGUUAGUUACAGAUUUUUGAGGCCUGAGAUCUAUGAACUAUGUUGAUUUAUUGCUUGAAAUUAAUAGAUUAUGCAUAUGCAUUUAGUUAGGUUAGUGAGUUUUGUUUAUUUUUAUUUCUCUUGUGUUUUUGCUUGAGGACAAACAAAGUCUUGAGUUUUGGGGUAUUUGAUGGGUGAGUUUUAUACCUACGAAUUGGACAUCUCUUAAGCUUAUUUCUUUUCUUACUUUAAGUAUUUUUAGUGUCAUUUUACUUAUUCUAGUGUUUAUUUUGUAGGAAAUGCCUUCGGAGGGUCAAAACAGGAAAAUUGAAGCUCAGUGGCAGUUCUAUAAUUUUGGACUGAUGAGCUAGCUGGGGCGAGUUCCCUAGUACAUUAAGCUCGCCGGGCCAAGCUCCUCUAGUGCAUUGAAUUGUCUGGGGCGAGCUUGGUCGGGAAAAGAUUUUUUGCUAUAUUUUAGAAACGGAGUUCAACAAGAUUUCUUAUGGCUGAUUCGUUUGAAGGACUUCAAGGAGAUUAAAAGACUUGGCAAGGCAUACGAAACAGGGAGAAUUGACGAGGAUUUGAAGACAACACGAGGGCUUUCUGCAGAGAACAACAAGGGAGAACACGAAGGAGGAUUGUCGUAACGCCCGAGAAAAUCAGAUUAUUAUUUGAAUUAAAUUUUAUUUGAUUAUUUGAAUUCAAUGAAUUUAUUUGUUUAUUAGAGUGAGUAAGUUGUUUAAAGGUCGUUAUAUGACCUAGAAUGUGCGAAUGUGGUUAGGAUUCUGGUUGUGUGCUAGAAUUAAAUUAUUUGAAUUUCCAAGAUGAAAAUAAAAGUUUUA
This 1722-nucleotide long non-coding RNA is filed under the name Panax ginseng (ginseng). RNAcentral's name for it is "long non-coding RNA (PGIN_LNC008658)". Lineage: Eukaryota; Viridiplantae; Streptophyta; Magnoliopsida; Apiales; Araliaceae. The record is from RNAcentral.